CAUGACUGUAAGGUAGUGAUGUUUCCUUUUCCUCCACAGCCCAGGCUUGCAUCCCUCCCUGCGGUCUCCAGGAGUUCGCCCGGCGUUUCCUCUGCAGCGGGUGCUACUCUAGGGUCUGCGACCUCCCGCUGGACUGCCCAGUUCAGGAUGUGACAGUGACUCGGGGCGACCAGGCUAUGUUUUCUUGCAUCGUAAACUUCCAGCUGCCAAAGGAGGAGAUCACCUAUUCCUGGAAGUUCGCAGGAGGAGGUGUGAGUCGGGGCGGGGCCGGCGCGAAGAGUUUAGACGGGCGAGUUAGCCUUCACUAGAGGUUGGGGAGUCAGCUUGCGGGGACGGGACUCCGGGAAUCUCCGUCUAGACACAAGCAUCAGCAAGAGGAGGGUCGCGGGAUUUAGGGGAGAGCUCGAAGAUCAGAAUGCAGGACCAAGGACCUGGGGCGAUGGCUCACGCCUGUAAUCCCAGCGCUUUUGGAGACCAAGGCGGGAGGAUGGCUUGAGCCCAGGAGUUUGAGACCGGCCUCGGCAACAUAUUAAGACCCCUCCUCUGCCAAAAAAUUUUAAAAACAGCCGGGGCGUGGUGGUGCACGCCUAUAGUCCCGGCCACUGGGGAGGCUGAGCGGGAAGACUGCUUAAGUCCAGGAGUUCGAGGCUGCAGUGAGCUCUGAUCGCGCCACUGCACUGCAGCCUGGGCGCCAGAACGAGACCCUGGC
This 709-nucleotide long non-coding RNA is filed under the name Pan troglodytes (chimpanzee). RNAcentral describes it as "long non-coding RNA NONPTRT008198". Lineage: Eukaryota; Metazoa; Chordata; Mammalia; Primates; Hominidae. The record is from RNAcentral.